GAUGAACGCUAGCUACAGGCUUAACACAUGCAAGUCGAGGGGAAACGGCAUCGAAAGCUUGCUUUUGAUGGGCGUCGACCGGCGCACGGGUGAGUAACGCGUAUCCAACCUGCCCAUCACUUGGGAAUAACCUUGCGAAAGUAAGACUAAUGCCCAAUGACAUCCCACGAAGGCAUCCGAAUGGGAUUAAAGAUUUAUCGGUGAUGGAUGGGGAUGCGUCUGAUUAGCUUGUUGGCGGGGUGACGGCCCACCAAGGCAACGAUCAGUAGGGGUUCUGAGAGGAAGGUCCCCCACAUCGGAACUGAGACACGGUCCAAACUCCUACGGGAGGAAGAAGUAAGGAAUAUUGGUCAAUGGGCGGGAGACUGAACCAGCCAAGUAGCGUGCAGGAGGACGGCCCUAUGGGUUGUAAACUGCUUUUAUAAGGGAAUAAAGUGGGUCACGUGUGACUUCUUGCAUGUACCUUAUGAAUAAGGACCGGCUAAUUCCGUG
This 492-nucleotide ribosomal RNA is filed under the name uncultured bacterium. Its description in RNAcentral is "partial 16S ribosomal RNA". It matches the Rfam family "Bacterial small subunit ribosomal RNA", at positions 28 to 507 of the family's 1533-position model. The record is from RNAcentral.